Molecule: ribosomal RNA, 475 nt
Filed under: uncultured organism
Description: partial 16S ribosomal RNA
Rfam family: Bacterial small subunit ribosomal RNA
Source: RNAcentral
CGUACACUCCUGCGGGAGGCAGCAGUGGGGAAUUUUGGACAAUGGGCGAAAGCCUGAUCCAGCCAUGCCGCGUGCAGGAUGAAGGCCUUCGGGUUGUAAACUGCUUUUGUACGGAACGAAACGGCCUUUUCUAAUAAAGAGGGCUAAUGACGGUACCGUAAGAAUAAGCACCGGCUAACUACGUGCCAGCAGCCGCGGUAAUACGUAGGGUGCAAGCGUUAAUCGGAAUUACUGGGCGUAAAGCGUGCGCAGGCGGUUAUGUAAGACAGUUGUGAAAUCCCCGGGCUCAACCUGGGAACUGCAUCUGUGACUGCAUAGCUAGAGUACGGUAGAGGGGGAUGGAAUUCCGCGUGUAGCAGUGAAAUGCGUAGAUAUGCGGAGGAACACCGAUGGCGAAGGCAAUCCCCUGGACCUGUACUGACGCUCAUGCACGAAAGCGUGGGGAGCAAACAGGAUUAGAAACCCGAGUAGUCCC